AAGUCGUAACAAGGUAGCCGUAUCGGAAGGUGCGGCUGGAUCACCUCCUUUCUAAGGAGACAUGGUUUCUCGCUAGAGAAAUCAUAUCCUAAGGUCGAUGCUUUGAAGGACGUCAUGGAAGCAAUGAAGUGAAACGAUUCAAAGUUGGAGAAGUCUAAGAGACUUCUAAAAGCCGAAGAGGCAAAACGGAGUAAUCCGUAAAGUAUGAGAAAUGAAGCUGUUGAAGUUAAAAGCUAACUUGUUGUUUAGUUUUGAGGGACCAUAAAGUCUUCUAUAUGGGGGUAUAGCUCAGCUGGGAGAGCGCUUGAAUGGCAUUCAAGAGGCCAGCGGUUCGAUCCCGCUUACCUCCACCAUAAUAUAUCUGGUUUCUCUAAUGUUUAUUAUGUUCUUUGAAAACUGCACAGAGAAGAAAAAACUGUAAUUAGGAUAACAUCUAAAACCUAGAAGUGGCGGCAAAAAACGUUUGGUCAAGCUACUAAGGGCGUACGGUGGAUGCCUAGGCGCUAAGAGUCGAAGAAGGACGCGGCGAGCGGCGAAACGCCACGGGGAGCAGUAAGCAUGCCUUGAUCCGUGGAUAUCCGAAUGGGGAAACCCA
Molecule: unclassified non-coding RNA, 595 nt
Filed under: Desulfitobacterium hafniense
Lineage: Bacteria; Bacillati; Bacillota; Clostridia; Eubacteriales; Desulfitobacteriaceae
Description: partial contains 16S ribosomal RNA, 16S-23S ribosomal RNA intergenic spacer, and 23S ribosomal RNA
Rfam family: Bacterial large subunit ribosomal RNA (bases 466-595)
Source: RNAcentral